RNAcentral lists this ribosomal RNA (255 nucleotides) under uncultured bacterium. RNAcentral describes it as "partial 16S ribosomal RNA". It matches the Rfam family "Bacterial small subunit ribosomal RNA", at positions 524 to 777 of the family's 1533-position model. The record is from RNAcentral.
UACGUAGGGUGCAAGCGUUGUCCGGAAUUAUUGGGCGUAAAGAGCUCGUAGGCGGUUUGUUGCGUCGGCUGUGAAAUCCCGAGGCUCAACCUCGGGUCUGCAGUCGAUACGAGCAAACUAGAGUGUUGCAGGGGAGACUGGAAUUCCUGGUGUAGCGGUGAAAUGCGCAGAUAUCAGGAGGAACACCGGUGGCGAAGGCGGUUCUCUGGGCAUUACCUGACGCUGAGGAGCGAAAGUGUGGGGGAGCGAACAGGG